CACGGGACCUUAUCGAACACAAAGUCAGAGCUUAACAAAAAUACAAAUUAUCAAUGGUCAGCGUUUUAUUCCUGUUCAUCUUUAUAGUCGCUAGAGAGUCUUCAACAAUGAAAGAAUCACUUGUUUACCAGAAGAACAAAACGACAAUAGCAAGAAAGGAUCUGAGAGUACUUAAGUUUCUGACAGCUAGUUCACACUGUUACGUUUGAAGUCUUCCUGUCCGUCAUCCCGCAAUCGUUAUUUUUGAAGACCAUAAGUGAAUGAAUAAUUUGAUUUUCUGUCUCAGGACCUGCGCAUAUAUAAAAUACUUGCCACUGAACAUUGAACCAAGUAAAAUCAAUACACAUCGUUUCAUAUAUAAAAAUCAAUCUACAGAUGAUAAAGCAUUUCUUUGUUGGUUAGACUCCCUUUUUGGGGAGUUGAACACUGUGCGGGACAAAUUUCUUCUCAUGGGAAGAUAUAUUUUUCCCAUGGGAAUAUUGUGUUUUUUCUUUUUAUUUUUUUUUUCAGAAUUUGUAAAAGUGCUAUGAAAUAUCGAAAUGGACUGACAAUCACUAUAGUAACCAAUGACUGGAACAAUUUAACAGGCAUUUCAAUAAAUUAAAAGUAUUUCUAUCAUACUUUUACACUCAAUAGUCUUUUUUUUUUUUUUU
This 653-nucleotide long non-coding RNA is filed under the name Mytilus galloprovincialis (Mediterranean mussel). The record is from RNAcentral. Lineage: Eukaryota; Metazoa; Mollusca; Bivalvia; Mytilida; Mytilidae.